GAUACGGGACUCAUCCGAGGCCCCGUAAUCGGAAUGAAUACACUUUAAAUCCUUUAAUGAGGAUCCAUUGGAGGGCAAGUCUGGUGCCAGCAGCCGCGGUAAUUCCAGCUCCAAUAGCGUAUAUUAAAGUUGUUGCGGUUAAAAAGCUCGUAGUUGAAUUUGUGUCUCGUACUGUUGGUUCACCGCUUGUCGGUGUUAACUGACACGUUAUGGGACGUCCUACCGGUGGGCUUAGCUGAGGUAAAACUUGGCGGUCCAAUAUAUCCCAUCGCGGUGCUCUUAAUUGAGUGUCGAGGUGGGCCGGUACGUUUACUUUGAACAAAUUAGAGUGCUUAAAGCAGGCUUAUUUUGCCUGAAUACUGGUGCAUGGAAUAAUAGAAUAGGACCUCGGUUCUAUUUUGUUGGUUUUCGGAAUUCCGAGGUAAUGAUUAAUAGGGACAGAUGGGGGCAUUCGUAUUGCGACGUUAGAGGUGAAAUUCUUGGAUCGUCGCAAGACGAACAGAAGCGAAAGCAUUUGCCAAAAAUGUUUUCAUUAAUCAAGAACGAAAGUUAGAGGUUCGAAGGCGAUCAGAUACCGCCCUAGUUCUAACCAUAAACGAUGCCAGCUAGCGAUCCGCCGAAGUUCCUCCGAUGACUCGGCGGGCAGCUUCCGGGAAACCAAAGCUUUUGGGUUCCGGGGGAAGUAUGGUUGCAAAGCUGAAACUUAAAGGAAU
RNAcentral lists this ribosomal RNA (713 nucleotides) under Khoikhoia sp. BJS-2011. Its description in RNAcentral is "SSU rRNA". It matches the Rfam family "Eukaryotic small subunit ribosomal RNA", at positions 482 to 1153 of the family's 1831-position model. The record is from RNAcentral. Lineage: Eukaryota; Metazoa; Arthropoda; Insecta; Hymenoptera; Braconidae.